RNAcentral lists this ribosomal RNA (253 nucleotides) under uncultured bacterium. RNAcentral's name for it is "partial 16S ribosomal RNA". It matches the Rfam family "Bacterial small subunit ribosomal RNA", at positions 524 to 776 of the family's 1533-position model. The record is from RNAcentral.
UACAGAGGGUGCAAGCGUUAAUCGGAAUUACUGGGCGUAAAGCGCAUGCAGGUGGGUAUAUAAGUUUGAUGUGAAAGCCCUGGGCUUAACCUGGGAAUGGCGUUGAAGACUGUGUACCUAGAGUUUGACAGAGGGUCGUGGAAUUUCCGGUGUAGCGGUGAAAUGCGUAGAGAUCGGAAAGAACACCAGUGGCGAAGGCGGCGACCUGGGUCAAAACUGACACUGAGGUGCGAAAGCGUGGGGAGCAAACAGG